GAUGAACGCUAGCGGGAGGCCUAACACAUGCAAGCCGAGCGGUAGAGAUUCUUCGGAAUCUUGAGAGCGGCGUACGGGUGCGGAACACGUGUGCAACCUACCUUUAUCUGGAGGAUAGCCUUUCGAAAGGAAGAUUAAUACUCCAUAAUAUAUUGAUUGGCAUCAAUUGAUAUUGAAAGCUCCGGCGGAUAGAGAUGGGCACGCGCAAGAUUAGUUAGUUGGUGAGGUAACGGCUCACCAAGACGAUGAUCUUUAGGGGCCUGAGAGGGUGAUCCCCACACUGGUACUGAGACACGGACCAGGACUCCUACGGGAGGCAGCAGUGAGGAAUAUUGGUCAAUGGGUGCAAGCCUGAACCAGCCUAUCCCGCGUGAAGGACGACUGCCCUAUGGGUUGUAAACUUCUUUUGUAUAGGGAUAAACCUACCCUCGUGAGGUAGCUGAAGGUACUAUACGAAUAAGCAACCGGCUAACUCCGUGCCAGCAGCCGCGGUAAU
RNAcentral lists this ribosomal RNA (496 nucleotides) under uncultured bacterium. RNAcentral's name for it is "bacterial SSU rRNA". It matches the Rfam family "Bacterial small subunit ribosomal RNA", at positions 28 to 524 of the family's 1533-position model. The record is from RNAcentral.